RNAcentral lists this signal recognition particle RNA (297 nucleotides) under Mustela putorius furo (domestic ferret). RNAcentral describes it as "Metazoan signal recognition particle RNA (ENSMPUG00000022759.1)". It matches the Rfam family "Metazoan signal recognition particle RNA". From Rfam's summary of the family: The signal recognition particle (SRP) is a universally conserved ribonucleoprotein. It is involved in the co-translational targeting of proteins to membranes. The eukaryotic SRP consists of a 300-nucleotide 7S RNA and six proteins: SRPs 72, 68, 54, 19, 14, and 9. The record is from RNAcentral. Lineage: Eukaryota; Metazoa; Chordata; Mammalia; Carnivora; Mustelidae.
GCCGGGCGCGGUGGCGCGCGCCUGUAGUCCCAGCUACUCGGGAGGCUGAGGCAGGAGGAUAGCUUGAGCCCAGGAGUUCUGGACUGUAAUGCGCUAUGCCGGUCGGGUGUCCGCACUAAGUUCGGCAUCAAUAUGGUGACCUCCCGGGAGCGGGGGACCACCAGGUUGACUAAGGAGGGGUGAACCGGCCCAGGUCGGAAACGGAGCAGGUCAAGAGUCAGACACUUAACCGACUGAGACCCCCAGGCUGUCUUAUUCCUGUGAAUAAGUAGUGGGAUCAGUAGUGGGAUCGUGCCU